AGAGUUUGAUCAUGGCUCAGGAUGAACGCUAGCGGAGGCCUAACACAUGCAAGCCGAGCGGGUAUUGUUUCUUCGGAAAUGAGAGAGCGGGCGUACGGGUGCGGAACACGUGUGCAACCUGCCUUUAUCUGGGGGAUAGCCUUUCGAAAGGAAGAUUAAUACUCCAUAAUAUAUUGAACGGCAUCGUUUAAUAUUGAAAGCUCCGGCGGAUAGAGAUGGGCACGCGCAAGAUUAGCUAGUUGGUGAGGUAACGGCUCACCAAGGCAAUGAUCUUUAGGGGGCCUGAGAGGGUGAUCCCCCACACUGGUACUGAGACACGGACCAGACUCCUACGGGAGGCAGCAGUGAGGAAUAUUGGUCAAUGGGUGCAAGCCUGAACCAGCCAUCCCGCGUGAAGGACGACUGCCCUAUGGGUUGUAAACUUCUUUUGUAUAGGGAUAAACCUUUCCACGUGUGGAAAGCUGAAGGUACUAUACGAAUAAGCACCGGCUAACUCCGUG
Molecule: ribosomal RNA, 500 nt
Filed under: uncultured bacterium
Lineage: Bacteria
Description: bacterial SSU rRNA
Rfam family: Bacterial small subunit ribosomal RNA
Source: RNAcentral